GGUCAAGCGAAUAAGCGCACACGGUGGAUGCCUUGGCGGUCAGAGGCGAUGAAGGACGUGGCAGCCUGCGAAAAGUAUCGGGGAGCUGGCAACAAGCUUUGAUCCGGUAAUGUCCGAAUGGGGAAACCCACCCGCUUGCGGGUAUCCUGCAGUGAAUACAUAGCUGCUGGAAGCGAACCUGGUGAACUGAAAUAUCUAAGUAACCAGAGGAAAAGAAAUCAACCGAGAUUCCGUAAGUAGCGACGAGCGAACGCGGACUAGCCCUUAAGCUGAUUUGGUUCUAGGAAAACGCUCUGGAAAGAGCGGCCAUAGAAGGUGAUAGCCCUGUAUCUGAAAGGGCCAUUUCAGUGAAGACGAGUAGGGCGGGGCACGUGAAACCCUGUCUGAACAUGGGGGGACCAUCCUCCAAGGCUAAAUACUACUGACCGACCGAUAGUGAACCAGUACCGUGAGGGAAAGGCGAAAAGAACCCCGGAGAGGGGAGUGAAAUAGAACCUGAAACCGUGUGCGUACAAGCAGUAGGAGCUCCGCAAGGAGUGACUGCGUACCUUUUGUAUAAUGGGUCAGCGACUUACUGUUCGUGGCAAGCUUAACCGUAUAGGGGAGGCGAAGGGAAACCGAGUCUGAUAAGGGCGCAUAGUCGCGGGCAGUAGACCCGAAACCGGGUGAUCUAGUCAUGCCCAGGGUGAAGGUGCGGUAACACGCACUGGAGGCCCGAACCCACUCCCGUUGCAAAGGUAGGGGAUGAGGUGUGAUUAGGAGUGAAAAGCUAAUCGAACCCGGAGAUAGCUGGUUCUCCUCGAAAGCUAUUUAGGUAGCGCCUCAUAUGUAUCCUCUCGGGGGUAGAGCACUGUUAUGGCUAGGGGGUCAUCGCGACUUACCAAACCAUUGCAAACUCCGAAUACCGAGACGGACUGUAUGGGAGACACACGGCGGGUGCUAACGUCCGUCGUGAAAAGGGAAACAACCCAGACCCACAGCUAAGGUCCCAAAUUUUGUGCUAAGUGGAAAACCAUGUGGAAAGGCACAGACAGCCAGGAGGUUGGCUUAGAAGCAGCCACCCUUUAAAGAAAGCGUAAUAGCUCACUGGUCGAGUCGGUCUGCGGGGAAGAUUUAACGGGGCUAAGCACAGAACCGAAGCUUGGGGUGCAUAACUUUGUUAUGCGCGGUAGAGGAGCGUUCCGUAAGCCGUUGAAGGUGGAUUGAGAAGUCUGCUGGAGGUAUCGGAAGUGCGAAUGCUGACAUGAGUAACGAUAAUGCGGGUGAAAAACCCGCACGCCGAAAGCCCAAGGUUUCCUUGCGCAACGUUAAUCGGCGCAGGGUGAGUCGGCCCCUAAGGCGAGGACGAAAGUCGUAGUCGAUGGGAAGCAGGUUAAUAUUCCUGCACCUCGCGUAAGUGCGAUGGAGGGACGGAGAAGGUUAGGUGUACCAGGCGUUGGUUGUCCUGGGGAAAGGCGGUAGGUUUGGAUCUUUGGCAAAUCCGGGAUCCUUUAAGACCGAGCACCGAGACGAGCCUUUAAGGCGAAGUCACUGAUACCACGCUUCCAGGAAAAGCUCCUAAGCUUCAGCUUACGCAGACCGUACCGUAAACCGACACAGGUGGGUAGGAUGAGAAUUCUCAGGCGCUUGAGAGAACUCGGGUGAAGGAACUAGGCAACAUGGCACCGUAACUUCGGGAGAAGGUGCACCCUUUUUGGUGGCUCGUGCGAGCUAUAGCUGAAGAGGGUCGCAGUAACCAGGCCGCUGCGACUGUUUAUCAAAAACACAGCACUCUGCAAACACGAAAGUGGACGUAUAGGGUGUGACGCCUGCCCGGUGCUGGAAGGUUAAUUGAUGGGGUCAGCCGCAAGGCGAAGCUCUUGAUCGAAGCCCCAGUAAACGGCGGCCGUAACUAUAACGGUCCUAAGGUAGCGAAAUUCCUUGUCGGGUAAGUUCCGACCUGCACGAAUGGCGUAACGACAGCGGCGCUGUCUCCACCCGAGACUCAGUGAAAUUGAAAUCGCUGUGAAGAUGCAGCGUUCCCGUGGCAAGACGGAAAGACCCCGUGAACCUUUACUAUAGCUUUACACUGAACGUUGAGUUCGUCUGUGUAGGAUAGGUGGGAGGCUAUGAAACCAUGGCGCUAGCUGUGGCGGAGCCAUCCUUGAAAUACCACCCUGUCGUGCUUGACGUUCUAACCUGGGCCCAUUAUCUGGGUCGGGGACCGUGUAUGGUGGGUAGUUUGACUGGGGCGGUCUCCUCCUAAAGAGUAACGGAGGAGCUCGAAGGUACGCUCAGCGCGGUCGGACAUCGCGCACUGUGUGCAAAGGCAUAAGCGUGCUUGACUGCAAGAUCGACGGAUCAAGCAGGUAGGAAACUAGGACUUAGUGAUCCGGUGGUUCUGUAUGGAAGGGCCAUCGCUCAACGGAUAAAAGGUACUCCGGGGAUAACAGGCUGAUACCGCCCAAGAGUUCAUAUCGACGGCGGUGUUUGGCACCUCGAUGUCGGCUCAUCACAUCCUGGGGCUGUAGUCGGUCCCAAGGGUAUGGCUGUUCGCCAUUUAAAGUGGUACGCGAGCUGGGUUCAGAACGUCGUGAGACAGUUCGGUCCCUAUCUGCCAUGGGCGUUGGAGAUUUGAGAGGGGCUGCUCCUAGUACGAGAGGACCGGAGUGGACGAACCUCUGGUGUUCCGGUUGUCACGCCAGUGGCAUUGCCGGGUAGCUAUGUUCGGAAGCGAUAACCGCUGAAAGCAUCUAAGCGGGAAGCGCGCCUCAAGAUGAGAUCUCCCGGGGCACAAGCCCCCUGAAGGAACCAUGUAGACUACGUGGUUGAUAGGUCAGGUGUGUAAGUACAGCAAUGUAUUGAGCUAACUGAUACUAAUGAUCCGUGCGGCUUGACCAU
This 2880-nucleotide ribosomal RNA is filed under the name Stenotrophomonas maltophilia. Its description in RNAcentral is "23S ribosomal RNA". It matches the Rfam family "Bacterial large subunit ribosomal RNA". The record is from RNAcentral. Lineage: Bacteria; Pseudomonadati; Pseudomonadota; Gammaproteobacteria; Lysobacterales; Lysobacteraceae. RNAcentral also lists the same sequence under 1 other name.